This 782-nucleotide long non-coding RNA is filed under the name Rattus norvegicus (Norway rat). RNAcentral's name for it is "long non-coding RNA NONRATT030237". Lineage: Eukaryota; Metazoa; Chordata; Mammalia; Rodentia; Muridae. The record is from RNAcentral.
CUGCGGCUCAGCUGAUAAUUGAAGGGACGACAAGCCGCCGCCGUCGCCGCCGCUGGGGGGGGUGGGGGGAGCCAGUGGAAGUUGCCGUCGCGCCACGGAGUCCGGACCAGAGACUUUGGGGCCUAACUAGUGAAUGGUAGUGUCUAGAAAGGGUAUGUCCCUUCAAGAGAGAGGUGCCAAUGUCCAACCGGCCUAAUAACAAUCCAGGGGGGUCACUGCGACGUUCACAGAGGAACACUGCCGGGGCCCAACCACAAGACGACUCAAUAGGAGGAAGAAGCUGCAGUUCAUCAUCUGCUGUCAUAGUUCCGCAACCAGAGGAUCCAGACAGAGCCAAUACUUCAGAAAGGCAGAAAACGGGGCAGGUGCCUAAAAAAGACAAUUCUCGAGGAGUGAAACGCAGUGCUAGUCCAGACUACAACAGGACCAAUUCUCCUAGCUCUGCGAAAAAGCCCAGAGCAUUUCAGCAUAUUGAGUCUCUCUCAGAAACCAAUAAGCCACCUAGUAAGUCAAAGAAGAGACAUUUAGACCAGGAGCAACAACUGAAAUCUGCACAAUUGCCGUCAACAAGCAAGGCUCACACCAGAAAGAGUGUGGCUGCUGGUAGUUCACGGAGUCAGAAAAGAAAAAGGACAGAGAGUUCUUGUGUUAAGAGUGGUUCUGGGUCCGAAUCAACUGGUGCCGAAGAGAGAUCUGCAAAACCCACCAAGCUGGCUUCAAAAUCGGCCACCUCAGCCAAAGCUGGGUGUAGCACCAUCACUGAUUCUUCUUCUGCUGCCUCU